RNAcentral lists this ribosomal RNA (253 nucleotides) under uncultured bacterium. Its description in RNAcentral is "partial 16S ribosomal RNA". It matches the Rfam family "Bacterial small subunit ribosomal RNA", at positions 524 to 776 of the family's 1533-position model. The record is from RNAcentral.
UACGUAGGGGGCUAGCGUUGUCCGGAAUCAUUGGGCGUAAAGCGCGCGUAGGCGGCCCGGUAAGUCCGCUGUAAAAGUCCAGGGCUCAACCCUGGAACGCCGGUGGAUACUGUCGGGCUAGAGUCCGGAAGAGGCGAGUGGAAUUCCUGGUGUAGCGGUGAAAUGCGCAGAUAUCAGGAAGAACACCUAUGGCGAAGGCAGCUCUCUGGGACGGUACUGACGCUGAGACGCGAAAGCGUGGGGAGCGAACAGG